UACAGAGGUCUCAAGCGUUGUUCGGAUUCAUUGGGCGUAAAGGGUGCGUAGGUGGCGCCGUAAGUCAGGUGUGAAAUUUCGGAGCUUAACUCCGAAAACUGCAUUUGAUACUGCGGUGCUUGAGGACUGGAGAGGAGACUGGAAUUUACGGUGUAGCAGUGAAAUGCGUAGAGAUCGUAAGGAAGACCAGUGGCGAAGGC
Molecule: ribosomal RNA, 200 nt
Filed under: uncultured bacterium
Lineage: Bacteria
Description: partial 16S ribosomal RNA
Rfam family: Bacterial small subunit ribosomal RNA
Source: RNAcentral